Molecule: ribosomal RNA, 588 nt
Filed under: Staphylococcus aureus
Lineage: Bacteria; Bacillati; Bacillota; Bacilli; Caryophanales; Staphylococcaceae
Description: partial 23S ribosomal RNA
Rfam family: Bacterial large subunit ribosomal RNA
Source: RNAcentral
GGGAGGACCAUCUCCUAAGGCUAAAUACUCUCUAGUGACCGAUAGUGAACCAGUACCGUGAGGGAAAGGUGAAAAGCACCCCGGAAGGGGAGUGAAAUAGAACCUGAAACCGUGUGCUUACAAGUAGUCAGAGCCCGUUAAUGGGUGAUGGCGUGCCUUUUGUAGAAUGAACCGGCGAGUUACGAUUUGAUGCAAGGUUAAGCAGUAAAUGUGGAGCCGUAGCGAAAGCGAGUCUGAAUAGGGCGUUUAGUAUUUGGUCGUAGACCCGAAACCAGGUGAUCUACCCUUGGUCAGGUUGAAGUUCAGGUAACACUGAAUGGAGGACCGAACCGACUUACGUUGAAAAGUGAGCGGAUGAACUGAGGGUAGCGGAGAAAUUCCAAUCGAACCUGGAGAUAGCUGGUUCUCUCCGAAAUAGCUUUAGGGCUAGCCUCAAGUGAUGAUUAUUGGAGGUAGAGCACUGUUUGGACGAGGGGCCCCUCUCGGGUUACCGAAUUCAGACAAACUCCGAAUGCCAAUUAAUUUAACUUGGGAGUCAGAACAUGGGUGAUAAGGUCCGUGUUCGAAAGGGAAACAGCCCAGACCACC